GAUGAACGCUGGCGGCGUGCCUAAUACAUGCAAGUCGAGCGAACGGACGAGAAGCUUGCUUUUCUGAUGUUAGCGGCGGACGGGUGAGUAACACGUGGAUAACCUACCUAUAAGACUGGGAUAACUUCGGGAAACCGGAGCUAAUACCGGAUAAUAUUUUGAACCGCUUGGUUCAAAAGUGAAAGACGGUCUUGCUGUCACUUAUAGAUGGAUCCGCGCUGCAUUAGCUAGUUGGUAAGGUAACGGCUUACCAAGGCAACGAUGCAUAGCCGACCUGAGAGGGUGAUCGGCCACACUGGAACUGAGACACGGUCCAGACUCCUACGGGAGGCAGCAGUAGGGAAUCUUCCGCAAUGGGCGAAAGCCUGACGGAGCAACGCCGCGUGAGUGAUGAAGGUCUUCGGAUCGUAAAACUCUGUUAUUAGGGAAGAACAUAUGUGUAAGUAACUGUGCACAUUUUGACGGUACCUAAUCAGAAAGCCACGGCUAACUACGUG
This 497-nucleotide ribosomal RNA is filed under the name uncultured bacterium. Its description in RNAcentral is "partial 16S ribosomal RNA". It matches the Rfam family "Bacterial small subunit ribosomal RNA", at positions 28 to 507 of the family's 1533-position model. The record is from RNAcentral.